This 457-nucleotide ribosomal RNA is filed under the name uncultured bacterium. Its description in RNAcentral is "partial 16S ribosomal RNA". It matches the Rfam family "Bacterial small subunit ribosomal RNA", at positions 338 to 795 of the family's 1533-position model. The record is from RNAcentral.
CCUACGGGAGGCAGCAGUGGGGAAUAUUGCACAAUGGGGGAAACCCUGAUGCAGCGACGCCGCGUGAGUGAAGAAGUAAUUCGUUACGUAAAGCUCUAUCAGCAGGGAAGAACCACUUACCUUACGGUCAGCAUCCGGUACCUGAGUAAGACGCCCCUGCUAACUACGUGCCAGCCGCCGCGGUAAUACGUGGGGGGCAAGCGUUAUCCGGAUUUACUGGGUGUAAAGGGAGCGUAGACGGUGCGCCAAGUCUGAAGUGAAAUGCCGCAGCUUAACUGCGGAACUGCUUGGAAACUGGCGAACUAGAGUGCGGGAGGGGUAAGCGGAAUUCCUAGUGUAGCGGUGAAAUGCGUAGAGAUUAGGAGGAACACCGGUGGCGAAGGCGGCUUACUGGACCGUAACUGACGUUGAGGCUCGAAAGCGUGGGGAGCAAACAGGAUUAGAUACCCCUGUAGUC